UGUUUUGCUCCCUGUGUUCUCCUCUGGUGCCUGCCCUGACCUUUGGCCCUGGCCUCAGUUAGAGAGACUCUAAAUGACCCCUGACCUCUGAACCCCAGCUGACCUCCGCACUGAGAGGACGGCAGACAGACAGUAGCUGUUUUAAAAGACCUCCUUCCAUCCGUUCCACAAGGCUGGUGCCAGAUUCCACGGCAGGAAAUCAUACGUCCGACCACCCUCAAGCUCUGAAGGGUGAAAAAAAACAUAGCUGGAAUGACAUGACUCUGAGAUGUAGCUUCCAGAUAGCUCUCAGGAGAAUCACAUUUCAGGACCACAUGAAAGAAAUGACCCGAUUUGGAAAGGAAAGGAGAAAACAUCUCCCAACUGAAGAAACCAGAUGAAGAAACUUCAGUGUGGAUCUCUGAUCUCUUGACAGACUAAACAUUGAACAUUUAAUUUCCAUCCAACUGAACUCAGCUGAAUUCCAUGUAGGUUGUAGCAGAGCCCCCUGUAGAGGAACUGUAAAAGGAAGAGGCUAAUGUGUAGAUCGCACUUCCUCAUACUUCUCCUAUAGACACAGCAGACCAGCAUCACACUUCUCCCAGCUUUUGGAGAGGCAGACAGCAGAACAGCAUCACACUUCUCCCAGCUUUUAAAGACACAGACAGCAGACCAGCAUCACACUUCUCCCAGCUUUUAGAGAGACAGACAGCAGACCAGCAUCACACUUCUUCCAGCUUUUAUAGAGAGAGACAAUUAACCUGUAUCACACUUCUCCCAGCUUUAACAGAGAGAGAGAGAGAGAGAGAGA
Coregonus clupeaformis (lake whitefish) is the source of this 790-nucleotide long non-coding RNA. RefSeq lists it as uncharacterized. NCBI's taxonomy places the organism in Eukaryota, Metazoa, Chordata, Actinopteri, Salmoniformes, Salmonidae. The record is from RefSeq and is a predicted model, not a curated record. The transcript has 3 exons.